CUGCUCAAUGAAUUUAAAUUUAAAUGGCUGCAGUAUUUAUAACUGUACAAAGGUAGCAUAAUAAUUUGUUUUUUAAAUGGAAACUGGAAUGAAAGAUUAAAUGAAAUAUAAACUUUUUUAAUUUAAUUAAUAAAUUAAUUUAUAAAUUAAGUAAAAAAACUUAACUAUUUUUAAAAGACGAUAAGACCCUUUAGAAUUUUAUUAAUUUAAAAAUAUAAAUUUUAUUAAUUUAAAUUAUAUUUUUUGAUUAAUUUUUUUGGGGUAAAAGAAAAAUAAAUUGAAUUUUUUUAAAUUUUUACAAAAAUUUUUGAGUUUUGAAUUUUAUAUUUUAAAUUAUUAAAAUUAAUUACCUAAGGGAUAACAGCAUAAUUUUUUUUUUAAGUUCAAAUUUUAAAAAGAGUUUAUGACCUCGAUGUUGAAUUAAGGUAAAAUUUUAAUGAAAAAAUUUAAAAUUUAAGUCUGUUCGACU
RNAcentral lists this ribosomal RNA (469 nucleotides) under Aleiodes sp. RNAcentral describes it as "partial 16S ribosomal RNA". Lineage: Eukaryota; Metazoa; Arthropoda; Insecta; Hymenoptera; Braconidae. The record is from RNAcentral.